CUCAGUGUUGUGUGUUUGAUCAGUGUGCCAAGCAAUUUUUAUUUCUUGGGCCAUGGAUCCAUGUUUGGGCACAGCCAAUGAUGACUGAGGACCAGAAUUUACUAUUACAAUUCACACAAUUCACUGGACCAUUGAAUAAUGAUAAAACUGUGCACUUAAACCAAUCAUUUCCUUUUCAUUUUGAUAAAAGUCUGGGACAAUAAGUCAAGCGACCUGAAAUCACGCCUAGGGAUUGCCUAAGGUUCGCUAGGGACUGGCUUAACUGUUACGAUAAGAUUUCUCGCUAAACAGACGGUGUGUCCUACUAACCAAAGAUAUCGAUAGUGUGACGUGCCCUCCCAACUAUGAAAACAUGGAGCACAAGAGCUUGUAAUGUGUACUGAAGAAGAACUCAAGAUAAAGAUUUUCCUUAAACAAAACAUUUAAUAUAAUAUUAUGCAUCAUGAAUAUGUACAACUUGCAUGAAGCCAUUAUGUGCAAAUGUACAUUAUACUAAUGGAUCUCAAGUAGUUGUUCCGCCAGUAGGCCAACCCUCCAUAAUGAAUGAAUGCCAUUUAUUACAGCUAUCUACACAUUUACUUUAUAGUAUUGACCAAUGAAUGUGUUUUGGUAAUCAUGGUAACUUAAUACAGCUUGUGUGCAAACAGCAUGCAUACUUGCAUGCACAUGCAAGUAUUAUGAUGUCAUUACUACAAUGAUAUGCAGUGUUGCUAGUCUCAAUAGUAUUAUGCAUCAUUUCCUGUUGCUUUGUGUUCUGACAUGGCAGAACCUGUUCCUGGAGUGUGUGUAGCGUGUAAAGAAGAUACUAUUGUUUACAAUGUCGUCUUAUUUGAGUGUAUGGAGUCUCAUCUUCUUUGUGACUCUUGUAUGAACUCUAGUGAAUUGAAAGGCUGUCCUAUUCACAAGUUUUCGAAGAGAAGAACAAGUCCUAAUAGCUAAAUUUAAGUAUACUAACUUUGUUCAGACUGUUUCUCAAAUUUAUUCAAAAUAUAUUUCUAACAUAAUGUCUUAUUUAUUCCACACUACAACUUAAUUGAAAUAAAAAUUGUGACAACUAAGAAUCUAGAUUGUAUAAUAUGUCAAGACACUGCUUGCAAGUGCAUUUUUGCAGAAAAAAUAAAGCAAAUUAAACAUAAUGCUAUGCCAUAAGUCUUUAACACAACACUCAAAAUUUAUUAAUCAGCCAAAUUCAUAAACAAUUAUGAUUUUAUUGAUUAAUGAAUUAAAAAUAAAUAAUGCAGAAUUAAUACCACUAUAGGCACUAGGCUAUAAUUAAUAUUAAUAUAAAGACCUUAAUGUGGAAGUGCACAAUUGAAUUAAUACCUUAUUAAUAAUAAAAUUUCAUUAUUUAUGCAAUAGUAUGAAGUCCAAAAAAUUGGGCAUGUGUGCAGUCAGAAAGGAGGUGCAUAUAUUGACAUAACCAAACAAUGAAUAUAGUCCUGAUUUCAGUACGAUAAUGCAUGCUAAUAAUCCUACUGGUAUGCUAUAAAAGCAAAGUAAAACGUAACUUUUAACAAACUAAGGACAAAUUUCUUUAAGCCUUCAUAAUUUAGCAAGAUGCCACAAAAUUGUACCAGGUGUAAUAAUGACAGAGAUGUAUACCAAUUGGAGUACAUAGAUGGUGUGACUAUAAGAUUCUUUUGUGUGGUGUGCAUUAGAGCUUAUCCAUCAGCACUAAACAGAGAUCAAUUAAUGCCUAGAUCAAAAGAAAUAGUACGAAGGAUACUAGCAAAUUAAUUAUAAGUUACUUUUGCUAUAAUGCUACUAAUUUACUACUUUGUUUUUUUGCUAUAAUUAUAAUAAUUGAGUCAAAAUUUUAAA
This is a long non-coding RNA of Amphimedon queenslandica, 1821 nucleotides long. RefSeq lists it as uncharacterized. Lineage: Eukaryota; Metazoa; Porifera; Demospongiae; Haplosclerida; Niphatidae. The transcript is spliced from 6 exons. The record is from RefSeq and is a predicted model, not a curated record.